AUGGCUAAGCAGGCUCUAAGGAGUACUCUGUGGCUUCUGCCAAGCAUCUUACUGUGUUUCCCAUUCUGUCCUCCCUUGAGUGGCCAGGUGUGCUCCACUGUGGGUUACAGAGCUUCCAGUUUACUGUGAACCUCAGCCUGGAGGCAGAGAGUCCCAUGCUAACAGCUUGGGAUAGCCAAGGGCUGCCACACAGGCUUAAGAAUGACUCUGACUGGUACAUGGGUGAUGGACAGAACUGAUGGAUUUUUGGUAUUGGAAGCCACCCACAAUGUCACUCUGGAAGGCUCCCAUUAUGUCAUGAUGGUCGGCGUGCAAGAGGUAGAUGUAGCUGGAAAUAUGAGAGGGACAAGAGAGACUGCUUAAGUGCCCUUUGGAUCUUCACACCCGAAAUACAGCAAGUGCUGAAGUGUGCAGUCCUGUGCUCCCUCGCCCAUCUCCAGAGGAAACUGUGAAGAGGUGGUCUGCUGCUACAGCUCUGAAGAGGAAAAGGCAGGUUCCUGUUACUAUGGAAACACAGUGACCUCCCGUUGUACCAGGGAAGGCUGCUUUUCCAUUGCUGUGUUCAGGAAUGCAACCUCGCCACCCCUACGCUUGGAUUCCCUAUCCUUGGUCUUCAGGAACAGCAGUGGGUGUGAUCCUGUGAUGAUGACAUCCACCUUUGUCCUGUUCCAAUUUCCACUUACUUCCUGUGGGACCACACGGCAGAUCACUGGAGACCAGUCCGUGUACAAAAAUGAGCUAGUAGUCAUUCGGGAUGUGCAAGCUUGGGGCAGAAGCUCUAUUACCCGAUACAGCAACUUCAGUCCUAGGCUCAUCCUUGCAUUGAGAGCCU
Mus musculus (house mouse) is the source of this 832-nucleotide RNA transcript. It is a transcript of the gene named zona pellucida glycoprotein 4, pseudogene, with no coding region annotated. The transcript is spliced from 7 exons. NCBI's taxonomy places the organism in Eukaryota, Metazoa, Chordata, Mammalia, Rodentia, Muridae. The record is from RefSeq and is marked provisional.